Molecule: unclassified non-coding RNA, 282 nt
Filed under: uncultured Glomeraceae
Lineage: Eukaryota; Fungi; Glomeromycota; Glomeromycetes; Glomerales; Glomeraceae
Description: sequence contains ITS2
Rfam family: 5.8S ribosomal RNA (bases 1-53)
Source: RNAcentral
GAACGCAUAUUGCACUUUCUGGUAUUCCGGAAAGUAUGCCUGUUUGAGGGUCAGUUAAAUAAAAAUCGGUGUUGUUGCCGCUUUUCGAGGUGACGCGUCGGAAUUGAGUUGUCUUACCUUCGGUUAAGUGACUUAAAAUUUUGUAUGAUUUUCGAACGUAUUUAAAUUUAUUUGAACGUUUGAUAUCGAAUGCUUAUUAGGUUCGGUCAUCCUCAUGACUCGCGCCUAUAAUUUUUCAUUAAAUGACCUCAAAUCAGGUAAGAAUACCCGCUGAACUUAAGC